RNAcentral lists this ribosomal RNA (253 nucleotides) under uncultured bacterium. Its description in RNAcentral is "partial 16S ribosomal RNA". It matches the Rfam family "Bacterial small subunit ribosomal RNA", at positions 524 to 776 of the family's 1533-position model. The record is from RNAcentral.
UACGUAGGGGGCAAGCGUUGUCCGGAUUUAUUGGGCGUAAAGAGCGUGUAGGCGGCUAGAUAGGUCCGUUGUGAAAACUCGAGGCUCAACCUCGAGACGUCGAUGGAAACCAUCUGGCUAGAGUCCGGAAGAGGAGAGUGGAAUUCCUGGUGUAGCGGUGAAAUGCGCAGAUAUCAGGAGGAACACCAGUGGCGAAGGCGGCUCACUGGCCCGGUACUGACGCUGAGGUGCGAAAGCGUGGGGAGCAAACAGG